UACGGAGGGGGCUAGCGUUGUUCGGAAUUACUGGGCGUAAAGCGUGCGUAGGUGGUUUGUUAAGUCUGUUGUGAAAGCCCCGGGCUCAACCUGGGAACUGCAUUUGUGACUGCACAGCUGGAGUGCGGCAGAGGGGGAUGGAAUUCCGCGUGUAGCAGUGAAAUGCGUAGAUAUGCGGAGGAACACCGAUGGCGAAGGCAAUCCCCUGGGCCUGCACUGACGCUCAUGCACGAAGCGUGGGGAGCAAACAGGAUAGAA
Molecule: ribosomal RNA, 258 nt
Filed under: uncultured bacterium
Lineage: Bacteria
Description: partial 16S ribosomal RNA
Rfam family: Bacterial small subunit ribosomal RNA
Source: RNAcentral